Molecule: ribosomal RNA, 116 nt
Filed under: Pteropus alecto (black flying fox)
Lineage: Eukaryota; Metazoa; Chordata; Mammalia; Chiroptera; Pteropodidae
Source: RNAcentral
GCCAUGAUCAAUGCCACCCUGAACAAGCCUGAUAUCUGAUCUCGGAAGCUAAGCAGGGUUGGGCCUGGUUAGUACUUAGAUGGGAGAUCACCUAGGAAGACCAGAUGCUGUAGGCA